UACGUAGGGUGCAGGCGUUAAUCGGAAUUACUGGGCGUAAAGCGUGCGCAGGCGGUUUGCUAAGACAGGUGUGAAAUCCCCGGGCUUAACCUGGGAACUGCGCUUGUAACUGGCAAGCUGGAGUGUGGCAGAGGGGGGUGGAAUUCCACGUGCAGCAGUGAAAUGCGUAGAGAUGUGGAGGAACACCGAUGGCGAAGGCAGCCCCCUGGGCUAACACUGACGCUCAUGCACGAAAGCGUGGGAGCAAACAGG
This 252-nucleotide ribosomal RNA is filed under the name uncultured bacterium. RNAcentral describes it as "partial 16S ribosomal RNA". It matches the Rfam family "Bacterial small subunit ribosomal RNA", at positions 524 to 776 of the family's 1533-position model. The record is from RNAcentral.